RNAcentral lists this long non-coding RNA (8690 nucleotides) under Daucus carota (carrot). Its description in RNAcentral is "long non-coding RNA (DCAR_LNC004634)". Lineage: Eukaryota; Viridiplantae; Streptophyta; Magnoliopsida; Apiales; Apiaceae. The record is from RNAcentral.
AACAAGAUGGAGGCUGGAAGGAGGUUGCGAGAAAGCCCCGAAAAAAUUCUGUUGGAAAUGUGGGGAGUGUGUAUCCAGGGACAAAAGUAUCAGGUAAUCCCUGGACAGGGUCUAAGGGGACUUCAAAUGCAUGGACAGGACCUAAGCAGCCCGCCAAUGCCUGGGUGGGGAAGGGUUCUGUGAAUGCCUUUGCAGCACCAGCAGGUAACAAUAAAUGGCCUUCUGCUGGCAGAGGAGUUUGGAACCAGUCAUCCUCAAUAGUGUAUGAGAACAUUUAUGAUGAACCAGCUGUUAUUCCUCCUCCUCUUGAGAAUGGAUGGCAAUGGCGUAAUAACACAUCUCAGGUAGCAAAUUUUGGUAAUGUAUCUGCUUCAAACCCUGCCGAUGCUACGUAUGACGAGGAGGAAGAGAGACAUGAUGAUAAUGACGGUGACGAAGAUGAUUUUAAUACUGAAGAUAUAUAUGACUCGGAAGAAUAUGACUCUGAUGAAAGCCAGAAGAGUCACGAAACUCUCAAGAAAACCUCAUCGCUCAAGGGUUUUUUCAAAACCCUAGAUGAGAUGAAUAUAGAGGAAACUAGUGAACCUGGUAGGGAGUGGCACUGCCCAGCCUGUGCUGGUGGACCUGGUGCUAUUGACUGGUAUCGUGGACUGCAGGCCUUGACGACCCAUGCUAAAACUAAAGGCAAAAGAAGGGCAAAGGCCCACAGGCUACUUGCCCAACUCUUGGAUGAGGAGCUGCGUUUGAGGGGAGCUUCCGUGAUCCCUGCUGGCGAAGCGUUUGGCAAGUGGAAAGGUUUGAACGAAAACGUUGUAAGAGACAGGAAAAUAGUUUGGCCUCCAAUGGUGAUGAUCAUGAACACACAAUUGGACCAAGAUGACAAUGGAAAGGUAAAUUUCUAUUUAUAUGCUAUUACAUAAUGCACCCUUGAUUUUUAGAGUGACGAAUCUAGCUUUCCAAGCUGACGAGCAUACGAUGAUCAAACUUUCUUCAUGUGCUGUUCCUUUGGCCUUACCUCUUUACUUACUAUUGCAUUUUCAGUGGCUUGGCAUGGGAAACGCUGAGCUUCUUGAGUACUUCAAUGCUUAUGAAGCCGUGAAGUCCCGGCAUUCUUAUGGCCCGCAAGGGCAUCGAGGUAUCAGUGUCCUGAUCUUUGAGGGCUCCGCUGUUGGUUUUUUGGAGGCUGAGCGAUUAAGCAAGCAUUUCGAGGAGGAAGGAACGAAUCGUGAAGCUUGGGCUCGUCGUCAGAAGUUGUUUCUUCCUGGCGGGCAGCGUUUGCUGUAUGGUUAUUUGGCAGAGAAAGGAGAUAUUGAUCAUUUUAACCAGCAUGCGCACGGUACAAUAUUUUUUUAACAUUAUUUGUGUUAAAAGUACCAAUUCCCUCACUUUCCUUCCUUCUUUUCAUAAAAGUUUAUAUUGUUUAUCUUUGUUGGCUAGGCAAAACCAAACUGAAAUUUGAAUUGAGGUCCUACGAAGAGAUGGUUGUCAAUCCGAUGAAGCAGAUGAAUGAGGACAAUCAUCUCCUCAACUACUACAAGAAAAGAGCUCUCGAGGAGAUUAAACAGGCCAAAGUAUAUCAUGAUUCGUUUGCUGCUGUGUCUGACAAAUUGCGCAAGACCCAGGAAGAGAAUCGCAUAGUGCGACAAAUGACAAAAGUGCAUCAUGAGGAAAACAAGGAGAAGGUAAUGAGUGAUCCUUUGCAAUACAUAGUGAAAAACUGAAAAUAUUUUUAUGGCUGUUAUGGAGUGUGUACAAAGCUGCCUCGCGAUUCACUAAAAUUUUGUCACCUGUUCGUAAUACUUGUUUUCUUAAUUAUAAAGUUUAUUCAUUGAACAAGUCAUCUUAAGUUCUAUGUGAUAUAUUCUUGUUAUUGCUCACCUACUAUCUCGACAGACAUUGUAUUUGUCUGCACUUCUUGAUAAUUUUUGAGUACUUCAGUUCUUGGAGGCACAUCCGUAGCUUGUUCAGUUUUUGGAGAGUAGUAAUAGUACGACAUCUUUUUAGACUCCAAUCUCCAUUAUAAAUUAUGGACUAUCUAAUUUUAUGUAUUUGUUUGAAUUAUCUAGUGAUUCGGUGACAGUUAUCAGUAUACAUAUUAUUCUUUACUUUUGUAAUGUUUCCUUUCCCCAAUUUUCUGUCACAUUUGUAGUUGUCAGCUUCAGUUUUCUGAUUGAUCCUAGUUUGUUAUGUGACAAUUCUAGUUGUCAGGUCCAUUUUCUAACUGUUCCCAGCUUGUUAUGUCAUAGUUGUAGUUUUCAGCUUCAUUUUACAUUGCUGGCAAUGAAUCUUUUUUAGCUUCUUGGUGCAUUUCUAACUGGUGUUGGGAAUUGCAAUUUUUUAGAUGGACUACCAAGAAGAAUUUUAUAAAGAGCAAAUCAAGCUUAUCCACGAAGCCCGCAUUGAGGAGGAGGAGAAAUUCGAGAAGAUACAGCAGGAGAAACGGCAUCAGAUGAAGAUUUAUAUGGAGAAACCCUCUUCAGCAGAGGACCGCCAAUUCAGGUAAGAUGCAAAUAGUAUAUUGGAGGCGUUACUCGUGUUUAUGCCUUAUCCGCAUGUUCUUUCUCUGUGAUGUAAAAAAUCUUCAGUUUACAUAUAAUGCCGGUAUUAUAACCGUUUCUGCAUGAUGGGGAUGCUAGUAAACCCUUCUCUCGGCUUUGUUUGCCUUUCGGUUGUAGAUUGAUUGCAUUUCUGAAUUGUGUUGCCGGUUUUGCUUACAAAGUUUAAGUCAGUAUGUAGUCAUCUUCUUUUCACUGAUUCUUUAAUGUACUAUUUAUGAUUUGCAUCUUGUGUAACCUCUUUUUACGGAGCUUGUAAGCCCUUUUUACUCUUUUUUCUUGUGAUGCAAUUUAUAUCAAUCGCCUUACUGCUAGAGCUCGUGCUAAAUAUGUAGGGUGCUAGUAGCUUUGCGAAUAAAAAGGAUAUUGUUAAGUUUUCACUUCACAGAUAUAUUGGUUUUUUUUGCUGUCCCGAUUUGUAGUGAUAAUUAGUUACAUUCCUUGUGUUUAUUCCUUCUUCUCUUUUUUGGGUUCUUGAAAUAGGAUCAACAAGGGAGCUACGUUGAUUUUGUCUCAGCAGAAAGAGAUGGACAAUUUUGCUGAAGAAAGGGACAAACUUCUUAAUAAUCUUGAAACGAGGAAGGCCGAGUUGAAGCGGCAACGCUUCGAGGAAGAUGUAAGGCUUGAGAAGAAGUUUGAUGCAGACUUAAGUCAGCUGAUGGAGAGAUACACUAGAGGGAAUGCACCAGAUAUGUCCUGAGGAGAGAGGGGUCUGACAGGAUGCAUCAGUAGAACUUGUUCUAAAUUUAAUGCAUUUCAGGAUUCAUAAAACUAGGAAAUUUUGGACUUAUGACAUGAAGCUUGAGGCUUCCAGUCACAACUGCUCGGUAGUUGCUUGAGAGUUGAGACCCAAAACUAAGCAGCUUUUCUGAAGGUUUUUUUUAAUGGUUAUCUUCGAAACCCGUUAUUAUUUGCAUUUUGGUCAUCUCUAUCUAUCACAAUUUUAAGUGGUCAGGAAAAUACCGUUUAGAUUUCAAUUUUAAAUAUAAACAUUCUUUAACAUUCAUAAUAUUUUUAAAGAGAAGAAAAUCUCAUUUGUGUUGUAUUUAUGCCCAAUCCCAUGAAAAACACUUACAAAUUCUAGAAAUCCUAAUAUUAGACUUAAUGUUACAGAUUAGUAUUACUUCGACAUAAUUUUAGAAGUUCAAACAAAAUAAAAUUCAUAAAGAAUAUUUCUUAAACACGUGUAGAGUUUUAUUAUUAUGAACUCUAAAGUCAUGUGAUGUCUUAUUUUCAUGUGACACAGGAACAUAUUUUUAGAAUAAAAUAUUUAAAUUUUAAAUUAUAGUAUUAAUUAUCAUUUCUCUCUUCCCUAGCAUCAACAAUGCUGAAUACUUUCAUUUUUAAAUUUAAAUGAAAAAACUAGCAAGUAUUAAUAAAAACAAAAUAUGUUACAUAAUUUGCAUCAAUAAAAUCCAAAUUUGCAAUUUUUUUUGACAAACAUAGUUGAUUUUAAACAUUUGGAACACGUGAAUGAUAUAACUCAAUAACUAACGUUGCUGUUCAAGUCCAUCUCUCUCCUCUCUCUCUAUUUCACAAAUCUCUCCGUCUCUCUGAAAGUUAGGGUUUAAAGUUUGAAUCAGAUCAUGACGUCGGGGGCAACAGCCGCUGUUGGACGACAACAGCAAGGGAUUAUACGUAUAGCUAUAUUCCUCUCCUCGACCGGUACUGAACCAGCGGUCCAGAUCACCGAUCUCCGCCCCAAAGCUGAACCGCUGGUACGCUAUCUAUACACAAAUAUGUUUACUUGUUGUGAUUGUUUGUUGUUGAUUAUGCUUGUGAGUGAUUGAUGGAGUGAAUUAUAUGCGUAGUUUAUGACUCGAAACUUCGAGAAUGAGAUUAGUGUUUAUUAGUAGGCACAUGUGAGUUUUAUCGUAAUGCUUUGUAUUAAGGAAUUAUGAUCACGUAAUAUUGGAAUUUCGGUGAUGCUUAUAAAUGUUAUGUUCUGUAGUUGAUUGGGCUUGUCAUGAUGGGAUAACUUAAGUGUGUACUUGAUUGUGCGGAGCAUAAAUGGUGGUUUUCAAGCAGGAAGGAGCAUAAAUGGUGGUAGUAGUAGGAAAGAGAGAGUGUUUGUUGUGAAGCUCCGUAAUAGCCUAAUAGGUGAUAGGGGAUUGUUAUGCGUGUGCAUGUAAUUGUCACACUAGGUCUAAAUAACAACGUUGUUUGUAUGUUCCUUUCGUGUGUGAUAAGGACUUCAAUAUAUCGGCUUUUUGUUGUUGGUAGUUUUGUUUAUGGUGUUUGUGAAUUUUUGGAGACAAGACUAGUUCAGCCGAAUUUUGAUAUGAACUAUAAGUUGGACUUGUGUUAUUAAUUGGUUGGGUUUUGGUAGGAGUACUGUUACUCUGUUAGACGUUUUCCUGUUGUGCAUCUUACUAUAUCUUGGCAUGUCUUACCUUCGCAAACAUGUUUUGUAAAUAUACAUGGAAAAAUUUGGGAAAAAAAGGAAAAAAUAAACAUGGUGAGCUUUUUUAUUAGAUUAAUUAAGUAAAAAAUAUGCGUCGUGUCUUCUUAAGUAGAAAUAAAUAUUCACUCGCCAAGGAGUCUCAACUUAGGAGUUGUAUGUACGAGUAUAUAUGGGCUAAAUUAAUAUUAGUGUAUUAAAGACACGACAAAACUCUAUAUUGUAUCAACACCACAUUAUUAGUAAUAUAGUUAAAACAUAGUUAAAGCAGCAAUGGCAAACGUGGUUGUCUCCUUUGUCCUCUGCAUGAUUCCCAGUGACAGUGAACAAUCCCUCCAAAAUGACGUUGUCAAAGAAGUUGCAGCGUCUAAGCCCAACAAGUCUUCUCUAGGGAUUCUUUGAAACGCACAAUGACUCAAUGAAGAUGGGAGUUUCUUAAGAAUGCACAAUGAGUGGGUGAUUGAGGGAUGGGUGCCUGAACCCUCGAUCUGUCCAAGACUUGUCCUGAAGACUGAGGGAUUUCAUGGGUUCUGACCUGAAUUUAUAACUCCCAUUCAUUAUGCAUUUGCGUUUCAGAGAAGUCCUAGAUGGUUGUGGGGAAGAGUUGUCGUACUCAGACCCCACAUCUUCUUCGACAACGUUGUUUUAAAGGGGUUGUCCAUUGUCAUUGGAAUUGACAGCUGCAUUCAUGCCAUUGCGACUUUAAUAGUAUUACUAGUAACUAGUAAUAAGAAAUGUGGUGUUUGUAAAAUAUAAGGUUUAGUGGUUUAGCCUUGUCUUAAUACUAAAACUAAUCUAAGCCCUGACUGUAUUUUUAUAUAUAUUGUACAUAACCUUCAAGUUGAGACUCCUCAGCAACUGUUGAAUAAUUUUUUCUCGAAAAACAUCAGAUUUAAUUAUUGGGAGUCCAAAACUAUUCAUUUCCAACUCUCUUUUUUUUGCUAAAUUAUUCAUUUCCAACUUAAUCUAGUUCAUAAAGAACUUGUNCCCCCCCCCCCCCCCCCCCCCCACCCCUAUUUUCCCAAAUAUAUAUUAGCAAGGAGUGUUCGCAAAAGGUAACAGAUUCCUGUUUUAGGGGCUGUUUCAUAUUUUUUUUUUUGAAAUGGUUGACUUUGGCUUAUAUGUGAUAAGUGACAUAAAUGGAUAGUAGAAAAUGAAAGUGAAUUGUUAUUACCUAGCAAACCAUAUUUGGAUACAGUGAAACUGAGAUGUAGUAAUAUAAAUUAUACUCAUAUGCCCAUUUCCAUGCUGAAGAAUUCCUUUGAUGUUUGUAUAGAGUGAAUUGAGAGUGAUAAUUAGUGUUGGAAGUUAAAUUUGGGCCCAAAACGUAAUACCUGCAUGAUAAAAGAAAGCGUAAAAAAUAUCGUCUAAAUCUUUCCCACAAAAGCCCAGAAAUACCAAAUCCAGGCCCACCGGAUUUUAAAAAAAUUAUAUACCUAAUAAAAUUUUCAAGUGUUGAGUCCUCACGCCCUUGUUUUCANCUCUAGACACACACAAAACCCUCGCUUAGAAACUCGUUAUAUCUCUCUUAAUCAUCUUCAGGUACAUUUAUUGCUCUAUCUCCUCGAUUAUCUCACGGAGAUCUUGUUUCAAAGCUUCGAUUCUUUUGUCUGGUUGUAUCUCUACAUGCUUUAGCUUGAUUUAUCGAUUUUUUUACGGAUUUAAAGCCUAGUCUAUGUGUCCAUUUGUGGUUUUUUGUGUUUGUUAUCUGUUUAUAUGCGUAUUUUUGUUGAUUAAAUUGAUUUAUGCCUUGUGUUUGUUAGGGUUUUAGUACGGUAUGCCGUUUUGUAUGUGUUUGUGCUUGUUUUAGCGACUUUUUAGGGGUUUAGUGCUUAAUUCAUGUGUUCAUUUGUGUUUUUUAGUUAUUCAUAUGCGUAUUUUGUUGAUUACAUUGAUUUAGGGCUCGUGUUUGUUAGGGUUUUAAUACACUAAGGUGUUUUGUAUGUGUUUGUACUGUUUUUGGGAGUAAAACUUAUGUAUACACCAUAUAUACUUGUUUAUGUUUUUGAUGUUGUUUUCUGUGUAUUCUAUAGUAUUUUUUUUCGGUGUUUGAACAUUAUUUUUUGUGAUUUCAGGGGUGUUAAGCUCAAUCUAUGUGUAUAUCUGUUUUUUUAAUUGUUUUUUAGGUGUUUAAAUUCAUGUUUUGUUGAUUAAAAGGCUUUAGAGUUCAUAUUUGUUAGACUUAUUAUACUGUAAGUUGUUUUUUAUGUGUUCUUAUGGUUAUUGUUGCUGCAAAUGUUUUUCUUGCAUGUCAAAAGUGUAUAUACGAAUUUACGAUCUUGACUUGUUUGAUGUAAUUGUGUGCGCUGUUAUAUUUACUUAUAUUAGCUUAUGUGUUUUUUGGUAUUUUGAACUUGUUUUUGUGAUUCAAGGGGUUUUAAUCUUGAUCUAUGUGUGCAGUUGUAUUUUUGCCUGUUUAUUUUCAUGUUUUAAAGUUUUUUAAUAAUAAAAUAACUUUGGGCCUUAUAAAAUGUUCCUUUAGUGUGUGUUUUUGUUGUUGCUAUUGUUAUAUCCCCAUGUGUAUGUAUAUAUGACAAUCUUAGCUCCUGUGGGAUUUUUGUUCUUGUUCUAUAUAUCUACUAUAUUUCCGUGCUUUUAUAUUUUCCUAUAUUGUAUCGGUUUGUGUUGUUGUACUGUUUUAAGCUUAAUCUAUGUGAUCAAUUGUUGUUUUUUAUUGUUUAGUUAGAUGUUUUGAUGAUCAGAACACUUUAAGAUGAAUAUUUGGUUUGGUUUCAAACUUGAAAGUGUUUUUUAUGUGUCUAUAUGCUUGUCAUUUUUAAAUGAUAACCAUAAAUGAGGUCUUUGUUGAACAAACAUAAAGGACAUUGUUAGCCUUUGUGGAAUUUUGUGUUUUCCCCAGUUGAGUUAAAAAAAAUUUGCAUGCAGAACACUUAUACAUAUAUUCCUUGAUUUUCACUUAUGUUUGUCCCUGAGUUUCUGCUAUAUGUGUUAGUAGAAGGGUAUCAAAUCUUCAUUAUUUUUUUCUGUAAGAUAUUUUCCUUUAGACAUGGAUGUUCAAAGUAUGAAGUGGUCCGUGGUCCAUGUGUGCUGAUAAUUAGCCUUUUACUUUUGGUACUAGUCCUAUGUUUUGGAUUAUUAUUUUUUUAACUUGUCACUUUGUGUUUAUACUUUAUAUUAUUGUAAUAUUUGUUAUAUGCUAAAUGUGUAUCAUAAUUUGUGUAAAUAUACAUUACUGACUGAUGUCCCAUGAUCCCACUUUUACGAGUUGAGAUUUCUGUCACAACAUGUUUUUUUAAUGAUAUUUUGCUUUCGAAACUGUGUUUGGACCAGUUAAAGUAUGAGUUCGAGAAGAGGGGGCGGAUCUGGUGCAAGACUACCUGCUGCUGGUGGAACUGGUAAAGCGAAAGGCAAAAAUGUUUCCCAAGUUUCUGAUAGUUGGGCCGAUCCAGUAGCUGAUUGGGUGUCAGAUAUAAGUCUCGAUUCUGAACAAGAUGGAGGCUGGAAGGAGGUUGCGAGAAAGCCCCGAAAAAAUUCUGUUGGAAAUGUGGGGAGUCUGUAUCCAGGGACAAAAGUAUCAGGUAAUCCCUGGACUGGGUCUAAGGGGACUUCAAAUGCAUGGACAGGACCUAAGCAGCCCGCCAAUGCCUGGGCGGGGAAGGGUUCUGUGAAUGCCUUUGCAGCACCAGCAGGUAACAAUAAAUGGCCUUCUGCUGGCAGAGGAGUUUGGAACCAGUCAUCCUCAAUAGUGUAUGAGAACAUCUAUGAUCAACCAG